Molecule: small nucleolar RNA, 138 nt
Filed under: Ornithorhynchus anatinus (platypus)
Lineage: Eukaryota; Metazoa; Chordata; Mammalia; Monotremata; Ornithorhynchidae
Source: RNAcentral
AACCUCUCAGGGUCACACCUGGAGAGUUUCCAGUCCUCUACCAGUCUUGAUUAUGGGAGAGAGAGUCAAGCAGAAGCCUUUCCAUUCCAUUCCUAGCUUGGGCAGUGGCUAGUGAGUGGAAGGCAAUCUGCUACAAGU